UCCCCGCACCCCGGCUUGGCCCCCCGACUCCCAGGAUCUGGGAUCGAUUCCAGGAGUCUUUGGCUGUGGUCCCCAGAGGCGAGGAGCAAAUCCUGGAGAAGUGUCCCCGUUGGGGCCGGAAUAGGGGUUUCGACGGCAGCGCAGGAGUCCCCAGAGGGCUUGGGAGCGGGGAGCUCCAAUGGGAGGUGUCGGUAAUCUGAAUUACUAAAAUGCAACAGGAAUGCUGCUGAGGAAAACUCUACUCUCAGGAGGACUUGGUCAAGGCAGCACGGUGCCAGGCACAAUGGUGAUUAAGACAGCUGCUGCCUGUCCUGUGUGGACACUUGUGGUCUAGAUGGCAAGAGCCAGACAAGUCAACACAUUUGGGUGAGAUCAGCAAAUGCUCAGACCACAAAAUCAAAAUAAGUAGGCACCGCAAAUCAAGUGAAUAUUCAAAAAAGAAACAAAAUCAAAUCAUUACCACACUACUGGUAGACAAGAGCCCACAUUACAGGACCAGAAGUCGGAAUGAUCACUGGGUCCUGAGUCCCAGAUCACCAGUCAGGAGUGGACCACAAAGGGCUCCAAGAGGCCUUACCUAAGAAGAGUAAGCAGAUACUCCCAAGACAAGGGCUGAUCAUAUCCUGGUUACGGCACUAAACUGAGAAAGACAAGUGUACCAAAGAGGUGAUUUUAUUUAGACUACUGCAGUAGAGAGAAUAUUCAUUAAUGAGGAACAUCUCAAAGAAAAGGAAGGGGUUCUGGGGUUUUUUAAAGACAGACAAGAAAGAGAGCCAUCCAUGAGUUUUUGGAGUAAUGAGGAAGGAUGGAGGUGGGUCUUAGCUUGAAAUACACCAAGUAAGGGUGAACCUUAUAGGGUAGGAGGAUUUCUUCCCCAUUGCUGCUUUCUGGGAGCAAAGGACUCAAAAUUCAACAUUGUCACAUUGUCAACUAUACAAAAUGUUUGUUGAUAAAGAACAAAGUAUUAGCAAUUGUUAGAGAGGGCAGCAUACUUCGCAGUACACUUUCUAUAUUCUAACUGCCUAGGAGCAAAUCUUGACUAUUGUUCACUAGCUAUAUGACUUUGGGAAAAUAUACAAUCUCUGAUUCUUAUUUUUCUUAUCAGUUCAUUGGGCAUUAAAACAGUAGCUUCACCAUAAAGCUGUUGUGAAGGUCAAAUGCAGUAAAGAUGAAA
This is a long non-coding RNA of Symphalangus syndactylus (siamang), 1174 nucleotides long. RefSeq lists it as uncharacterized. NCBI's taxonomy places the organism in Eukaryota, Metazoa, Chordata, Mammalia, Primates, Hylobatidae. The record is from RefSeq and is a predicted model, not a curated record.